CCCUUAGAUGUUCUGGGCUGCACGCGCGCUACACUGAUGCGUUCAACGAGUUUAUCACCUUGCCCGAUAGGGUUGGGUAAUCUUUUGAAAACGCAUCGUGAUGGGGAUAGAUUAUUGUAAUUAUUAAUCUUCAACGAGGAAUUCCUAGUAAGUGCGAAUCAUCAGUUCGCGCUGAUUACGUCCCUGCCCUUUGUACACACCGCCCGUCGCUCCUACCGAUUGAGUGGUCCGGUGAAUAAUUCGGACUGAGGAUUUAGGCAGUUUCUGCCUUUAUCUUCAGGAAGUCUAGUGAACCUUAUCACUUAGAGGAAGGAGAAGUCGUAACA
RNAcentral lists this ribosomal RNA (326 nucleotides) under uncultured eukaryote. RNAcentral's name for it is "partial 18S ribosomal RNA". It matches the Rfam family "Eukaryotic small subunit ribosomal RNA", at positions 1470 to 1796 of the family's 1831-position model. The record is from RNAcentral.